AAMGUGAUUCCCAGAAGAAAGCACCGGGCUAACUCCGUGCCAGCAGCCGCGGUAAUACGGAGGGUGCRAGCGUUAAUCGGAAUUACUGGGCGUAAAGGGUGCGUAGGUGGUUGAUUAAGUUAUCUGUGAAAUUCCUGGGCUUAACCUGGGACGGUCAGAUAAUACUGGUUGACUCGAGUAUGGGAGAGGGUAGUGGAAUUUCCGGUGUAGCGGUGAAAUGCGUAGAGAUCGGAAGGAACACCAGUGGCGAAGGCGGCUACCUGGCCUAAUACUGACACUGAGGCACGAAAGCGUGGGGAGCAAACAGGAUUARAUACCCUGGUAGUCCACGCUGUAAACGAUGUCAACUAGGCUGUUGG
This 359-nucleotide ribosomal RNA is filed under the name Legionella pneumophila. RNAcentral's name for it is "bacterial SSU rRNA". The record is from RNAcentral. Lineage: Bacteria; Pseudomonadati; Pseudomonadota; Gammaproteobacteria; Legionellales; Legionellaceae.